AUGAGGAUUUGCACGAGGAUUUGCGCGAGGACUUGCGCCGAGACAGCGAUCGGGAUCCGCAGCCGCCUUGGCACCGGGGUUUGCACGGUGACGCGCACGGGGAUUUGCACAAGGAGCUGCGACCGGGCAGGCACCGGCCUUUGCACGAGGUCUUGCACCAAGACGGCGAUGAGGAAUCGCAAUCACCUCGGCACCAGGGUUUGCACGGGGACGCGCGCCAGGACUUGCGACCAGACAGGUACCAGGGCUCGCACGAGGGUUUGCACGAGGAUUUGCACCAAGGAAGGCAGCGGGAGUUGCAGCCGGCGUGGCAGCAGGGUUUGCGUGGGGACUUGCACGAGGGUUUGCACAAGGAUUUGCACCAGCAUUUGCGACCAGACAAGCACCGGGGUUUGCACGAGGGUUUGCACGAAGGUUUGCACCCAGACAGCGCUCAGGAUUCGCGACCGCCUUGGCACCAGGGUUUGCACGGGGACUCGCAGGGGGACUCGCACGAGGACUUGCAGGGGGACUCCCACGAAGAUUCGCACGAGGAUUUGCACGACGAUUCGCCCGGCUCCCUGCUGGCACCCGCCACGUACGGUGACUCCCCCCCUGACCUUGCCCACCCUUAUAGGGACGAGGACCCUGACACCUAUGGGGACCCCUAUAUGGACCUGGCGGACCCCGACACGCAGCCCUGGGACCCCGACACCUAUGGGGGCCCCUAUACGGGCCCGGUCCCGCCCUAUAGGGGUGAGGACCCCAACACGGGGCUGUGGGACCCUGAAACGGAGCCCUGGGACCCUGACAUUUAUGGGGACCCCUAUAUGGACCCCUAUGGGGAUGAGGACCCUGAAAGGGGGCUCUGGGACCCCUAUACGUCCCCCUCGGACCCCUAUGGAGAUGAGGACCCUGAGCCUGGGAGCCUCCGUAGGGGCGGGGACCCCCAAACCAUGCCCUGGGACUCCUAUGGGGACCGUGCUAUGGACGCCUAUAGGGUCCGAGACCCCUAUAGGGAUGGGGACCCCCAGCCUGAGCCCAGGGACCCCUACAGAGCCCCAGAUCCCGAGACUGAGCCCUGGGACCCCCAUAGGACCUGGGACCCCCAGCCUGACCCCAGGGACCCCUAUAGAUUUAGGGACCCCCAGCCUGACCCCAGAGACCCCCAUAGGACCUGGGACCCCCAGCCUGAGCCCAGGGACCCCUAUAGAUUUGGGGACCCCCAGAUUGACCCCAGGGACCCCCAUAGAGUUGGAGACCCCCAAACUCAUCCCAAGGUCCCCCAUAGAGCUCCAAACCCCUAUACUGUACUGGGGGACCCCUAUAGCACCUGGGACCCCCAAACUAACACCAGGGACCCCCAUAGCACCCAGGACCCCCAACCUGACCCCAGGGACCCCUAUAGAGCCAGCCCCCCCCCCAAGGCCCUAUAGGGACCCCCAAACGGCCCCCUCCAUCUCCCAGGACUCCCCCAGUGCCCCCCCCCAGGGCUGGAGACCCCCCAACUGC
Molecule: long non-coding RNA, 1491 nt
Filed under: Aquila chrysaetos chrysaetos
Lineage: Eukaryota; Metazoa; Chordata; Aves; Accipitriformes; Accipitridae
Description: lncRNA (ENSACCG00020008187.1)
Source: RNAcentral